This 292-nucleotide ribosomal RNA is filed under the name uncultured bacterium. Its description in RNAcentral is "partial 16S ribosomal RNA". It matches the Rfam family "Bacterial small subunit ribosomal RNA", at positions 505 to 796 of the family's 1533-position model. The record is from RNAcentral.
GUGUCAGCAGCCGCGGUAAGACGAACCGUCCGAACGUUAUUCGGAAUCACUGGGCUUAAAGAGUGCGUAGGCGGCUUAUCAGGCGGGGUGUGAAAUCCCUCGGCCCAACCGAGGAAUAGCGCUCCGAACCGAUAGGCUUGAGGAGGAUAGAGGUAAGCGGAACAGAUGGUGGAGCGGUGAAAUGCGUUGAUAUCAUCUGGAACACCUGUGGCGAAAGCGGCUUACUGGGUCCUUUCUGACGCUGAGGCACGAAAGCCAGGGUAGCGAACGGGAUUAGAUACCCCCGUAGUCC